UACGUAGGGGGCAAGCGUUGUCCGGAAUUAUUGGGCGUAAAGCGCGCGCAGGCGGUGCGGAAAGUCUGAUGGUAAAGGCCGGGGCUCAACCCCGGUGUACAUUGGAAACUGUCGCGCUGGAGUGCAGGAGAGGGAAGCGGAAUUCCACGUGUAGCGGUGAAAUGCGUAGAGAUGUGGAGGAACACCAGUGGCGAAGGCGGCUUCCUGGCCUGUAACUGACGCUGAGGCGCGAAAGCGUGGGGAGCAAACAGG
RNAcentral lists this ribosomal RNA (252 nucleotides) under uncultured prokaryote. RNAcentral's name for it is "partial 16S ribosomal RNA". It matches the Rfam family "Bacterial small subunit ribosomal RNA", at positions 524 to 776 of the family's 1533-position model. The record is from RNAcentral.